Adelges cooleyi (spruce gall adelgid) is the source of this 277-nucleotide long non-coding RNA. RefSeq lists it as uncharacterized. Lineage: Eukaryota; Metazoa; Arthropoda; Insecta; Hemiptera; Adelgidae. The transcript has 5 exons. The record is from RefSeq and is a predicted model, not a curated record.
UUAUACAAAUGGUACGAUCGUUGUCUAUGCCCCAACAGUUGGUUUUGUUCAUUUCGAAAACGUACACGAAUCCAACAACUCGUCAAAUCACAUCAGAUAUCGAUUGAAAAUGACUAAGCUACAAGUUUUCUGUAUUUUUGCGGUGACUAUUUGCAUUGUUAUAAACAAUGUAAAAUGCGCAACGGAAGGCGAAUGUUGUGAUCAGAUUUGUAAGACCAACCACAUACUUAGAUAUUUAAAUGACGAUCAAAAAUACCAACUGGUCAACGGUCUCAUU